RNAcentral lists this non-coding RNA (21 nucleotides) under Caenorhabditis elegans. The record is from RNAcentral. Lineage: Eukaryota; Metazoa; Nematoda; Chromadorea; Rhabditida; Rhabditidae.
UAAAAAAUGUUGCAACGCAGU